This is a long non-coding RNA of Gallus gallus (chicken), 1303 nucleotides long. RefSeq lists it as uncharacterized. The transcript has 3 exons. The record is from RefSeq and is a predicted model, not a curated record. NCBI's taxonomy places the organism in Eukaryota, Metazoa, Chordata, Aves, Galliformes, Phasianidae.
UGCAAUGCUAUACAUCCCACCAUCCCUUGCUCUUGCAGUGUCUUCCCCACCCUGAUGCCUAUGAGGGCACAAAGGUAGAGACGGUGUGGUCAGAGCAGCUUGUACAUACAGCUUGUCGGUGGCUCCUGUAUGGGUGUGAGGCAUCCUCUAUUGCCAUUCUUGGCCUCUUCAUUUCAGGGAGAGACAGCCUGGCUUCUUCCCUUUUCACCUGACAAGAUAUUCCUUAGGUUUACUAGGCUAAUUUAAAAAGCUGCCAUCAAGCAGAAUGUUAUAUUCUGGUUGUAUGCCUUUACCUCCCUACCCUUUCUGCCAGUGCUUAGAUACAUAGGUGUCAAUCCCUAGUAUGGGACUGGCUGCUGUGGGUGAGAGGGAGGCAGCAGUACAGGAAUUUGGUUAAUAUCAUAAAGGAUGUCCAGAGGAAAUGAGAACAUUGGGUAAAUAAGCCAGUCAGGGACUAGUUAAUGGUAGAGCUGCCAUCCCUCUCUGACUACCUACCUUAUAUUUGAGAUGUGUUUUCUCAGAACAAGCUGACUUUGUACCAGUGGCUAUGGGAGAAAAAUGUUUGAGCUCAUCACUGUUUCCCAUAUCUUCCUCAUUUUCUUUUUUUUUUUUUUCUUGUUAAAUCUGACUUUCUUAGCUGAGAACAGGCUAAGUACGUCCAAAGCAACUCAGCAACCAGUGCAGAUAAAGCCAGGGCUGUCAGAAAUUGCCAAGCAGAGGCAUUUUUUGUAGUCUAAAAUGAAGGAUGGAAGAGCCCAUUUGGAUAAAAAAAGAAUUAACCUUGAACCUCUCCCUGAAGUCUGAUUCAAACAUGAAUCUCAUUUGUAUUAAAAAGGAAAAGGGGAGAAAAUAUAAUUUACUUAGCUCUUUUAUGCAGAGUCUGCAGUUCCUGGUUUGAAGAAGCAAUGAGCUAAAGAGAAACCAGAGUGGACUGGGCCACCAAUAUGAGAAUCCCUGCCAAUUUUGAGUGUCCUGUGGAAAAGCUAAUACAGCAAGAACAUGAAAAAAGUGAGGAUGGUGGGUGGUACAGGUAUCAAUCCAUCUUACCCAUUCUGUGUUUAAAAAAAAAAGUGUCAGUGAUGAAUUGAGUGAGGAAUCUGCUCUUUCUUCAGCCACGCCAAGUGAAGAGUGAAUGACAGUGAGUUCUCAACUGCUCUUUUGCUUGGAGAUUGGCAGGAGAUCAUUGAAAUCACGAGGUCAUACAAGGAGAAGAUCUAAUGGAAAAUUCUCCCAGUCUCAGCUGGAUAGAAUAUGGAUUCAAAUCUAUCCCAUCGAUUAAAGCUUUGAUUUCAUCCCCUUGAAA